Molecule: ribosomal RNA, 459 nt
Filed under: uncultured bacterium
Lineage: Bacteria
Description: partial 16S ribosomal RNA
Rfam family: Bacterial small subunit ribosomal RNA
Source: RNAcentral
CCUACGGGAGACAGCAGUGAGGAAUAUUGGUCAAUGGUCGGGAGCCUGAACCAGCCAAGCCGCGUGAGGGAGGAAGGUACAGCGUAUCGUAAACCUCUUUUGUCAGGGAACAAAGGCGGGGACGUGUCCCCGGAUGAGUGUACCUGAAGAAAAAGCAUCGGCUAACUCCGUGCCAGCAGCCGCGGUAAUACGGAGGAUGCGAGCGUUAUCCGGAUUUAUUGGGUUUAAAGGGUGCGCAGGCGGUCUGUUAAGUCAGCGGUCAAAGCCCGGGGCUCAACCCCGGCCCGCCGUUGAAACUGGCAGUCUCGAGUUGGAGAGAAGUAUGCGGAAUGCGCGGUGUAGCGGUGAAAUGCAUAGAUAUCGCGCAGAACUCCGAUUGCGAAGGCAGCGUGCCGGCUCCACACUGACGCUGAGGCACGAAAGCGUGGGUAUCGAACAGGAUUAGAUACCCUAGUAGUC